This 347-nucleotide long non-coding RNA is filed under the name Anser brachyrhynchus (Pink-footed goose). RNAcentral's name for it is "lncRNA (ENSABRG00000006718.1)". Lineage: Eukaryota; Metazoa; Chordata; Aves; Anseriformes; Anatidae. The record is from RNAcentral.
UCACAUUGAGGGGUCUGGUGAAGGCAGGUGCAGCAUCAGGUGCAGCUCAUCAAUGGGCUUUAAAAGGGCAAGCAUAGUCAGGAGACAGUGGGAUUCAUUCUGCUGAGAUGCUGUGAUAUUUUGAGGUUUGCUUUCAUCUGUCUGCUCUUAGCCAUUGAGGCCACUGGGCUGAGCUGAAGCACCACAGGAAACAAUGGAGGCCAUGAGAUGAUUUUUAUUCUUAGCCUAAAUAGAGACGGCAGAUACGCAAAGGUCCCUCUGACAGGCGGCAUUAGAAGUAGGUGCGUUUCUAGCAGCAACUGCGGCAAGCAGUGCGGAGGACGAGCCUGGGACAAUACCAAGACGCC